CCUGGCUUCAGUGAGCAGGGCCCUUCGCUGAGUUAGCUGGGGCCAGGCCACUCGAAACGUCCGCUCGGCCGUCACGUUAGUCCCGUUCUGUACUCCCAGAUCGUAGAGGCACGACAACCUCAGAGCUAGACUUGUUCCUGGUUACGGUGAGCUUUCCUCCGGGGCCUCAGUCUCCCGGACUCUGCUCGAGGAGGGUGUGCUUGAGCCGGGUUGCACACUCACACUCCCCCCCCGGGGGGCGUCUCCGAGGGGCCGAGAGCGUUCCUAUUCGACGGUCCAACCGAACAGGUAGAUCUUUUUUGGAGUGCACCACCCAAGCCCGCCACCACUUGGAAAACGAGGUUUCUAAAAAGAUUUUUAUACUUCAACGCAGCUCCUUUGGUGGGGGGGGGGAGGGGGGGGUUGGGUGGGUUUUAAGCAGGCCAUGGUUGUGUUGAGGCCGUGCACGGUGGCCAAGCUAGAGAGUCGAGAGCUUUUAUCGCGAAAGGUGCUGGUCGCCCUGGAGGGACUGGGGGCGGGCUGCCCCAAGACGGGCACUUUGGCUUGCGGGCUAUUUUGAGCUGAAGGCCAUCAGACUCUGAGGGCUCCAGAGAAGCUUUUGCCCCGCCCUCUACUACAUGGAAGAAUCUAAAUUGGAGGUCUUUCCAGAAUAAGUGUUCUUGCCAGAGAUAAAUGUUAUCUGAGCGACCCAUCUGUAUGGCGGGGCAAACACCCGAUUCCCAAACAUCUGCUCUUUUUAUCGCCCCGCGAAGUGCAGUGCGAUCCUUCCCUUGAAGUCCCAGAGCCCUACCCCUUCUCCUGAGUUCAGAAUGACACAGAGACCUCAUGUGGUCCACGUUUGGGAUUUCCAUGUCUGCGUGGAUGCCCCGUACGGAUGCCGAUUACGUUUGGUUUUCUCCCGUUGAUCGGGCUCAUGUCAAUUUGGUUCCGAGUCCAGCUCGAAGGACCUCUGAAGAGACAGGAAUUCUUGCUCCCCGACAGCCCUCCCGAAGAAGGCUCUCCGGUCCCUUUUGAGGAACCCCUCCCCCCCGCCAAGUGUAGGAAGGUGAUUGCGGGCCCCUGGUUCUAGAUCCCCAGCAUGUUUGGGAGCAGGUCAGAGAGCUGGGCUUGGCCACUGGGCUCUCACAGGACUCUGGGCCCUGGGCAGGGGAGGACGGGAGGCCUGGGUGGAAGGUGUUGGCAGGGCGCUGACUAGAUUCUUCUGGAAGGCCAGUACCCCUGGCUCCCCUGAUUCUGUGGGCGCCCCUCCCCCAUAUCCUUCUAGUAACUUCCUGUCGCCUUUUCAGAGUUGGCGUCUGCAGCUUGGACCGUAAAGAGCUUUUGCACCCAGUGGAUACAGUGACAGAUCGCGUGGAGGAAGGUCCCAGACCCAAGAUGCCUUCUUAGGGGACCGGUGCCCAAGGGCUUAGCGGGGCCCCGCGCGGCCUCUGCCUUUACUGGAUCUUCAAGUUCCCAGUGAGAUGCCCCUACUCUCGCUCAUCCUUCCUUCCUUUUGCUAAGGAAACCCAGGCACUCACUGCAGGGUAAUGCGUGCGCG
RNAcentral lists this long non-coding RNA (1537 nucleotides) under Lynx pardinus (Iberian lynx). The record is from RNAcentral. Lineage: Eukaryota; Metazoa; Chordata; Mammalia; Carnivora; Felidae.